UUAUUGGAGCGGCUUCACCAAAUCGUCGAUUAAGUGCAAAUCAAUCCCCGGCCAUUUAUCACGGCCUUCAUCCGUCUUGCGAGGUUUGAGGUGUAAUGGUGGAGGUGCCUUUUGCAUGGAAGACAUGGGUUGUCUUUCUUGGGCUGCACUAAGUGCUAUCAGGGAUGUGCAACAACGAGGUCAGUUGAUGGACUGUGUUCAAAAGCAGAGCAACAGCACCUGUGGAUAUUUGCAGCCACCCCACAGCACACCUGCAUGGUCAGCACACCUGUAUGGUCAGCACACCUGUAUGGUCAGCACACUGCUUCACCCUGCAGUACAGGAUGGUCACUGAUGGCUGCAGGUCAGUGCCAGCAUUCUCCUUGCAGACACUUGGUAUGUGAGUGAGUUUUCCACUCUAAGCAGCAUCACAAAGAAGAGGGGAAUGGCCAGCAAAGAAGGGCUGGUGGAGAUGGCCAUCUCUAAGCCACAAUCUUGCUUGAGAAGCCCUUCCAAUAACCUCCAGUCCUGCAGGAAGGAAGUUGGGUAAAUGCUGUGAUCUGUGGGAAAUGAGGUAAGCCUGCUCAGAAAAACACGUGAGCCUGAAGGCAGCACUUGGAGAUAUAAAGAAAACAACACAGAAAGGGGGUUCAUUUCCUCAGGCCUUUGAUAUCCCAAUAUCAAAUCAUAAGCAUGAGCUGAGAGCUGGGGAAUUAAAAUGGCCAAGUGGCUUAAAGAAGCGAGCACAGUAUAUAUGUGUGUGUGUGUAUAUCUAUCUAUCUAUAUGUAUAUAUAUGUAUAUAUCAGUCCAUUUUCACAGCUGUAAUCUCUCCAUGUUUCAACACAAACUGAAUUGAAAGCUAUCGUGUGUCUGUUCCUUCCCAGAGUCAUAAUUAGUUAAAUGCAGUUUUCUUGCAGAAAGGAAAUCUGGGCCUUAAUCAGGCUUUGGUUUGUUGUGUUUUCCUGGUGAUGUCAGCAAUCUGACUGCAGUUGAGAGAAGCAGCUGAAUGUAUUACUGAACUUAUCAGAAACUGUCAUAUUUCAAGCCAAGAAGGACCUGCUACCUCCUCCCGUCAUUCAGGUUACAGCAAGAAAAGGAUUGUCCUGAAACCCUUCUGGAAAGUAACUGAUGGAGUGUCAGUAUGAAAUAUUGAAGGUUGUGUGGAGAAUCUGCCUUGCAUUUUGCUGGACAGAAGGGUUCCUUGCUGAUGCUUGCAAGAUGUCCAGGUUUCCAAAGAGCUGCAGCAUCUCAGUGCCCUCAGAGCCACACAGGACUUCAUCUCCUACCAUCCUACACAAGAAGAAUUUCAGGGCCCUGCUUUGCCAACCUCACACAGUGCACUCACAGAAUGACCCGGGUUGGAAGGGACCUCGAUGAUCAUGAAGCUCCAACGCACAGCCCGAACAGACGCGAUGUCCACAAGGCACAAAGCUCCAGGAGCUUCUCCCCACCCACCAUCAAGGCGCUGCUCCGCACUGAGCGCACAUUCUCUCUGGGACGGACGGUACCGAACCCUCAGCGGACACAAAGUUGUCCCGACCCCGGGGUCUGGGGUUGGAGAAGCGCUCGGAGCCGCCGUAACGCUGGGACAGCAGCUCCGCCUGGCGGGGCGCGACCGUACGCGCAAUGCCAACCCCGGGGACGGCGGGGAUGCGGAGCCAGAGGCUGAACCUGCUGGUCUGAGAGAUGCCGUGAGGGAAAGAGCAAAGAAGGAAAGGAAAAAUUGCACCGAUGCCUUCCAUGCACCCCAAAGAAAAGGAAGGUUUCUGACAUAGCAAACCCCUUGGUGCUGAGGGCGGUGCCGUGGUGGCUUUGUGUGCUGACUGAUGCAGGGAGAGCUGCAGGACCCCGGAGCUGGUACAGCACCACUGCAGGAGCGGGAAUUGGUUCUGCUUUCUGCUACAUGGAAUUUGGUUUGAUUAGUCUAAUCUACUGCAUUAUUAUUUACCACAUGCAAAUCUCUUCAAACUGAUUAAAGCUGACAUUUAAGCUAAGAGAUGAGAUCUGGAAAGGAGUAAUAAGGAAAAAUUAUUACCCCAGCUUUUACAGUGUAGAUUUGUUGGGUAGAUCGAUUACAUCUAAAAUUUAAGGUUGAGACUUGACCCUAAAUCUCCUUUAAGGAAAAGGGAAGAAUUAAAUCCUCAGUUUGUUAUAUUUCAGCUUUACAGCAGAACCCACAGGGGUUUGUACAGGUGCUGCUGGUUUGGAAUGGUGGGUUUGGAUAUCAGAGGUAACCAGCAAUGAAUGCUAGCUUGCAAAACCUCACAUCAACAUGUUUAUUGUCUUUAAGACCUGGAAUUAUGGCUAUAAGACCUUCCUAAGGCUAUGGAGUUAUACAGAGCAAGCAGUUGUUUCUGGGCUGCUGAAGUAGAACUGUGAGCUGUAUACUGGAUAUAUCUUCAGCACACACAGGUUUGUGCCUGUAUAUUUCUGCUGCUGACCAAAUGGUGUAAGAGCUCUACGUUUAUACAGUGCAAGCCCUGAUUCAAAUAAAAGGUGAGAAAAAGGGGAAGCUGCCCUCUAUGAAGUAUAUUUUACAGUGAGGGUGUUGGGGAAGAGG
Molecule: non-coding RNA, 2540 nt
Organism: Coturnix japonica (Japanese quail)
Lineage: Eukaryota; Metazoa; Chordata; Aves; Galliformes; Phasianidae
Source: RefSeq, a predicted model, not a curated record